RNAcentral lists this ribosomal RNA (305 nucleotides) under uncultured bacterium. RNAcentral describes it as "bacterial SSU rRNA". It matches the Rfam family "Bacterial small subunit ribosomal RNA", at positions 332 to 656 of the family's 1533-position model. The record is from RNAcentral.
UUGACCUACGGGAGGCAGCAGUAGGGAAUAUUGCUCAAUGGGGGAAACCCUGAAGCAGCAACGCCGCGUGGAGGAUGAAGGUUUUCGGAUUGUAAACUCCUUUUGUUAGAGAAGAUAAUGACGGUAUCUAACGAAUAAGCACCGGCUAACUCCGUGCCAGCAGCCGCGGUAAUACGGAGGGUGCGAGCGUUGUCCGGAAUCACUGGGCGUAAAGGGCGCGUAGGCGGUAAUAUAAGUCAGAUGUGAAAGGUGGGGGCUCAACCCCUAGAGUGCAACUGAUACUGUAUAACUUGAGUGUGAGAGAG